This is a microRNA precursor of Oryza sativa Japonica Group (Japanese rice), 203 nucleotides long. It matches the Rfam family "MIR812 microRNA precursor family". The record is from Rfam. NCBI's taxonomy places the organism in Eukaryota, Viridiplantae, Streptophyta, Magnoliopsida, Poales, Poaceae.
AAUAGAUAACGCCAUUGACUUUUUUUCACAUGUUUGACCAUUCGUCUUAUUUAAAAAAUUUACAUAAUUAUAAUUUAUUUUGUUAUGAGUUGUUUAAUUACUCAUAGUACUUUAAGUGUGAUUUAUAUCUAUAUAUUUGCAUAAAAUUUUUGAAUAAGACGAAUGAUCAAACAUAUGAAAAAAAGUUAACGGCGUCAUCUAUU